Unclassified non-coding RNA from Callithrix jacchus (white-tufted-ear marmoset), 299 nucleotides. It matches the Rfam family "Metazoan signal recognition particle RNA". Rfam says of the family: The signal recognition particle (SRP) is a universally conserved ribonucleoprotein. It is involved in the co-translational targeting of proteins to membranes. The record is from Ensembl. NCBI's taxonomy places the organism in Eukaryota, Metazoa, Chordata, Mammalia, Primates, Cebidae.
GUCAGGCACAGUGACAGGUGCCUGUAGUCCCAGCUACUGGGGAGUCUGAGGUGGGAGAAUGGCUUGAGCCAGGAGUUCUGGGCUGUAGUGCAGUAUGCUGAUUGGGUGUCCACAGUAAGUUCAGCAUCAAUAUAGUGACCUCCCAGGAGCGGGAGACCACCAGGUUGCCUAAGGAAGGGUGAACCGGCCCAGGUCAGAAACAGAGCAGGUCAAAACUCCUGUGCUGAUUAGCAGUGGGAUCAUGCCUGUGAAUAGCCACUGCACUCCAGCCUGGGCAACAUAGCGAGAUCCCAUCUCUU